CGAGGGCUAAGCGCACAGUUGGGCGCAGGAGAGGAUGCUCGUGGGACCGUGGCGCGGGGUCGACGUUGACCCCUUCAGCCUCGCGCCCCGCGCUGUCCCUGCCUGGCGGAGGCCGGACUGUGGGGGUAGCGUCUGAAGCCUGCGCGACUGCGGCCUGUGUUUAUCAAUCUGGGACACACGGCUCUGAUGGAAGAGAGAACCAAACUUACAUCAGACACUUGACCCCUUGGCCCGGAGCCAAACCAGAUCAGCCGGGCGAGCCUCCCCCAGGGCAGGCUUGUACAUGACAGAUGACACUUGCCAGAGAAGUCAGGCCAUGCCACCCCCUGGGAGCCUGAAAGACACAAAAUCAAGGCAGUUCCAUCAAGCACUUCGAGAGUGGAGCAGGUGGCAAGCCUUUCAAUCACCUUUACUGAGGUGAGGUGAGAAAAA
Molecule: long non-coding RNA, 432 nt
Filed under: Heterocephalus glaber (naked mole-rat)
Lineage: Eukaryota; Metazoa; Chordata; Mammalia; Rodentia; Bathyergidae
Description: lncRNA (ENSHGLG00000040229.1)
Source: RNAcentral